RNAcentral lists this ribosomal RNA (130 nucleotides) under Hansenula anomala. Its description in RNAcentral is "partial 26S ribosomal RNA". Lineage: Eukaryota; Fungi; Ascomycota; Saccharomycetes; Phaffomycetales; Wickerhamomycetaceae. The record is from RNAcentral.
GGCCAGCAUCGAUUCGGAUGGUAAGAUAAUGACAGUUGAACGUGGCUCCAUUCGUGGAGUGUUAUAGCUUCUGUUGAUAUUGCCUGUCUGGAUCNAGGGCUNCGUCUUUUGACUAGGAUGCUGGCGUAAU